This 473-nucleotide ribosomal RNA is filed under the name uncultured bacterium. RNAcentral's name for it is "bacterial SSU rRNA". It matches the Rfam family "Bacterial small subunit ribosomal RNA", at positions 355 to 825 of the family's 1533-position model. The record is from RNAcentral.
UGGGGAAUUGUUCACAAUGGGCGCAAGCCUGAUGACGCAACGCCGCGUGGGGGAUGAAGGUCUUCGGAUCGUAAACCCCUGUCGAAUGGGACGAAAGACUCGCGAGUGAAUACUUCGCGAGAGUGACGGUACCGUUAAAGGAAGCCACGGCUAACUCUGUGCCAGCAGCCGCGGUAAUACAGAGGUGGCAAGCGUUGUUCGGAAUUACUGGGCGUAAAGGGCGCGUAGGCGGCCCUCUAAGUCAGACGUGAAAUCCCCCGGCUUAACCUGGGAACUGCGUCUGAUACUGGAGGGCUUGAGUAUGGGAGAGGGAUGUAGAAUUCCAGGUGUAGCGGUGAAAUGCGUAGAUAUCUGGAGGAAUACCGGUGGCGAAGGCGGCAUCCUGGACCAUUACUGACGCUGAGGCGCGAAAGCUAGGGGANCAAACGGGAUUAGAUACCCAUGUAGUCCCUGAGCGGGCUGGCAAGGCGCAU